RNAcentral lists this ribosomal RNA (1301 nucleotides) under Escherichia coli. RNAcentral's name for it is "bacterial LSU rRNA". It matches the Rfam family "Bacterial large subunit ribosomal RNA", at positions 1647 to 2925 of the family's 2925-position model. The record is from RNAcentral. Lineage: Bacteria; Pseudomonadati; Pseudomonadota; Gammaproteobacteria; Enterobacterales; Enterobacteriaceae.
CCCCAAACCGACACAGGUGGUCAGGUAGAGAAUACCAAGGCGCUUGAGAGAACUCGGGUGAAGGAACUAGGCAAAAUGGUGCCGUAACUUCGGGAGAAGGCACGCUGAUAUGUAGGUGAGGUCCCUCGCGGAUGGAGCUGAAAUCAGUCGAAGAUACCAGCUGGCUGCAACUGUUUAUUAAAAACACAGCACUGUGCAAACACGAAAGUGGACGUAUACGGUGUGACGCCUGCCCGGUGCCGGAAGGUUAAUUGAUGGGGUUAGCGCAAGCGAAGCUCUUGAUCGAAGCCCCGGUAAACGGCGGCCGUAACUAUAACGGUCCUAAGGUAGCGAAAUUCCUUGUCGGGUAAGUUCCGACCUGCACGAAUGGCGUAAUGAUGGCCAGGCUGUCUCCACCCGAGACUCAGUGAAAUUGAACUCGCUGUGAAGAUGCAGUGUACCCGCGGCAAGACGGAAAGACCCCGUGAACCUUUACUAUAGCUUGACACUGAACAUUGAGCCUUGAUGUGUAGGAUAGGUGGGAGGCUUAGAAGUGUGGACGCCAGUCUGCAUGGAGCCGACCUUGAAAUACCACCCUUUAAUGUUUGAUGUUCUAACGUUGACCCGUAAUCCGGGUUGCGGACAGUGUCUGGUGGGUAGUUUGACUGGGGCGGUCUCCUCCUAAAGAGUAACGGAGGAGCACGAAGGUUGGCUAAUCCUGGUCGGACAUCAGGAGGUUAGUGCAAUGGCAUAAGCCAGCUUGACUGCGAGCGUGACGGCGCGAGCAGGUGCGAAAGCAGGUCAUAGUGAUCCGGUGGUUCUGAAUGGAAGGGCCAUCGCUCAACGGAUAAAAGGUACUCCGGGGAUAACAGGCUGAUACCGCCCAAGAGUUCAUAUCGACGGCGGUGUUUGGCACCUCGAUGUCGGCUCAUCACAUCCUGGGGCUGAAGUAGGUCCCAAGGGUAUGGCUGUUCGCCAUUUAAAGUGGUACGCGAGCUGGGUUUAGAACGUCGUGAGACAGUUCGGUCCCUAUCUGCCGUGGGCGCUGGAGAACUGAGGGGGGCUGCUCCUAGUACGAGAGGACCGGAGUGGACGCAUCACUGGUGUUCGGGUUGUCAUGCCAAUGGCACUGCCCGGUAGCUAAAUGCGGAAGAGAUAAGUGCUGAAAGCAUCUAAGCACGAAACUUGCCCCGAGAUGAGUUCUCCCUGACUCCUUGAGAGUCCUGAAGGAACGUUGAAGACGACGACGUUGAUAGGCCGGGUGUGUAAGCGCAGCGAUGCGUUGAGCUAACCGGUACUAAUGAACCGUGAGGCUUAACCUU